GUAUUUUGAGAAAAACAAAAAGCGAAUCAGUAAUUGAAGAAUCCCUUUCCCUCCCAGAUCCUAAGAUUUUCCUCUAGUUUCUAUCCCAUGCAUUGUUCUUCUCCCUUUUGAUUGAGGCAGUCAGGCGUGGUGAAGGGAAGAGAUAGAGCAGUGUGAGUGGUAACCGGCUGGUGGGGAAACAACGGCCUAUUUUUGAAGUAAGGGAGAUGUCUGUCGUGUUUUUUUGGUUGGUGAAGGGAGGUGGGGGUGAGUCGUUGUAGCGGAAUAAGGCUGGGGUCGUCUUCGUUGCUUGGGGUCGGCUGAAUUUUGUUGAAGCAAAAGAAGGAGCAAUGAUGGCCGGCGGGUGAAGAGGCCGUUGAUUUGGUGGUCAAGAGGGGGGAGUCG
This 384-nucleotide long non-coding RNA is filed under the name Nicotiana benthamiana. Its description in RNAcentral is "long non-coding RNA (NBEN_LNC042098)". Lineage: Eukaryota; Viridiplantae; Streptophyta; Magnoliopsida; Solanales; Solanaceae. The record is from RNAcentral.